This 104-nucleotide small nuclear RNA is filed under the name Octopus vulgaris (common octopus). Lineage: Eukaryota; Metazoa; Mollusca; Cephalopoda; Octopoda; Octopodidae. RNAcentral also lists the same sequence under 1 other name. The record is from RNAcentral.
GUACUAGCUAUGGCGGUACAUAUUCUAAAAUUGGAAUGAUACAAAGAUUAGCAUGGCUCCUGCACAAGGAUGACCUGCAAAUUCAUGAAGCGUUCCAUAUUUUU